Molecule: ribosomal RNA, 278 nt
Filed under: uncultured bacterium
Lineage: Bacteria
Description: partial 16S ribosomal RNA
Rfam family: Bacterial small subunit ribosomal RNA
Source: RNAcentral
GGAAUCUUCCACAAUGGACGCAAGUCUGAUGGAGCAACGCCGCGUGAGUGAAGAAGGCUUUCGGGUCGUAAAACUCUGUUAUUGAAGAAGAACGUGUGUGACAGUAACUGGUCAUGCAGUGACGGUAUUCAAUCAGAAAGUCACGGCUAACUACGUGCCAGCAGCCGCGGUAAUACGUAGGUGGCAAGCGUUGUCCGGAUUUAUUGGGCGUAAAGCGAGUGCAGGCGGUCUUUUAAGUCUGAUGUGAAAGCCUUCGGCUUAACCGAAGAAGGGCAUCG